AUGACCGACGCGGGUCAAAGUGUUGUAUCUAUAUUCUUAUCAGCUUAAUAUCUCAUACGGAUUGAAUUUGGACCCAAGAUGUUAAAUUUAAUUUUGCAAUGUGGCGGAGUGAUUGAAACCUGCUUCACCUCCGCUGCCGGGUGGGCCCGGUAUUGUAUUACAUCAAUUUACCGCAUAUACGAU
Molecule: small nuclear RNA, 183 nt
Organism: Dermacentor silvarum
Lineage: Eukaryota; Metazoa; Arthropoda; Arachnida; Ixodida; Ixodidae
Product: U2 spliceosomal RNA
Exons: 1
Source: RefSeq, a predicted model, not a curated record